AUGAUGCUGAACCGCCAAUACCGCAACCUCAAACAGGGAGAUCUCUCCGUCGCCGAGUACGCUCGUCGCAUGAAGCCCCUCACCGCCGGGCUGGCCGACAUCGAGCACGCUGUCACUAAAGUGGAUCUCACCACUCAGUUUCUUCACGGCAUCGACAAACGCCUCGACACCAUCCGCGUCAUGCUCGGGGACACGGUUCCUCUGCCACCGUUUGAGACGGUCUUCUCUCGCCUGAAGCUCGCCGAGGAGAACCUCGCCCAGCGCGUGGCCGAUGAGCCGGCCACCAUCCUCGCCGUCACUGGGGGCGGCGGCCCCUCCGGGUCAGGCGGCUCCGCUCCUCGCUCCGGCGACCGCGCCAAUCGUGCCACUGACCGGGGUCCCAGC
RNAcentral lists this ribosomal RNA (384 nucleotides) under Triticum aestivum (bread wheat). RNAcentral's name for it is "partial small subunit ribosomal RNA". Lineage: Eukaryota; Viridiplantae; Streptophyta; Magnoliopsida; Poales; Poaceae. The record is from RNAcentral.